This 346-nucleotide long non-coding RNA is filed under the name Sus scrofa (pig). RNAcentral's name for it is "lncRNA (ENSSSCG00070021666.1)". Lineage: Eukaryota; Metazoa; Chordata; Mammalia; Artiodactyla; Suidae. The record is from RNAcentral.
CCGACAGCACUAGUAGGGCUAGCCGUACCUUGAGCUUUCCUGGUGUUUACAUUCCAGAUUUGCUUCUAAAACAAUAUAUUUAGGAAUUCAACAAUGGAUGUACUAAGGUGCACAGUUUUCAUGAAGACAUGCAGGUGCUGAUCAAGCUGGAGUGUAAGGAACCCAAGCCUGGGACUUGGUCUCAUAUGGGACUGUGGCCGCAGCACCCAAAACAGUUGGCCACAUAGGUGGGGUUCUCGCAAUGUCCUCUGAGUGGAGGAGUGGAAGACAGAAUUUCUGGACUCAUAUCUAGGCGAAAAGAAAGAGCUUCUUGAGAUAUGAAAAGAACACUGCAAGCACAGCAGGC